This 251-nucleotide ribosomal RNA is filed under the name uncultured prokaryote. RNAcentral's name for it is "partial 16S rRNA". It matches the Rfam family "Bacterial small subunit ribosomal RNA", at positions 525 to 775 of the family's 1533-position model. The record is from RNAcentral.
ACAGAGGGGGCAAGCGUUAUUCGGAAUUAUUGGGCGUAAAGGGCGCGUAGGCGGUGCUUUAAGUGAGAUGUGUAAUCCCCGAGCUUAACUUGGGAACUGCAUCUCAGACUGAAGCGCUAGAGUACUGGAGAGGGUGGUAGAAUUCCACGUGUAGCGGUGAAAUGCGUAGAGAUGUGGAGGAAUACCGGUGGCGAAGGCGGCCGCCUGGACAGUAACUGACGCUGAGGCGCGAAAGUGUGGGUAGCAAACAG